UCGAGAAUCUUCGGCAAUGGGGGCAACCCUGACCGAGCGACGCCGCGUGCGAGAUGAAGGCCUUCGGGUUGUAAAUCGCUGUCAGAGGGGAGGAAAUGCUAGUGGGUUCUCCCACUAGUUUGACCUAGCCUCAGAGGAAGGACGGGCUAAGUUCGUGCCAGCAGCCGCGGUAAGACGAACCGUCCAAACGUUAUUCGGAAUCACUGGGCUUAAAGGGUGCGUAGGCGGUCCGGGAAGUUGGGUGUGAAAGCCCUCGGCUCAACCGAGGAAGUGCGUCCAAAACGGCCGGGCUGGAGGGAGACAUAGGUGAGCGGAACUUAGGGUGGAGCGGUGAAAUGCGUUGAGAUCCUAAGGAACACCAGUAGCGAAAGCGGCUCACUGGGUCUCUUCUGACGCUGAUGCACGAAAGCCAGGGGAGCGAAGA
This 424-nucleotide ribosomal RNA is filed under the name uncultured prokaryote. Its description in RNAcentral is "bacterial SSU rRNA". It matches the Rfam family "Bacterial small subunit ribosomal RNA", at positions 355 to 774 of the family's 1533-position model. The record is from RNAcentral.